This 1624-nucleotide long non-coding RNA is filed under the name Scleropages formosus (Asian bonytongue). RNAcentral's name for it is "lncRNA (ENSSFOG00015029600.1)". The record is from RNAcentral. Lineage: Eukaryota; Metazoa; Chordata; Actinopteri; Osteoglossiformes; Osteoglossidae.
AUGGAGCCUGGGGGUUCCGGCGACGAGGCGGUCGCCAUGCUGUGGUCCGUCCGGGAGGCCGUGGAACGGUCAACUUUGCAGAUCGGAGCGUCGGCGUGCGGCGCCACGGCGCUGGUGGACGUUCUGCGGGCCCUGGGGGUCCCGGUGACCCCGGAAACGGCCGAGCGCUGCGUCCAGACGCGGUUAAGGAGGAACGAGGCGCCGCUGCCGGACUACCUGCUGUCACGCAGCGAGGCCGGUACUGGAGCUCCGCAGGCAGACCGUGCCACCCACCAGCAACUGAUAGAUGGUGCCGAUUUGGCCAGCAGGGGGAAGGUCCUCGGCCGCUUUUUCCCCUUCCACCCCCGCCGCAGGGUGCAGCUCGUGUCCUGGUUGGCCGGAUGGAUCCGCUGCGGCGCCGUCCCGGUGGCCACCAUGAACAUGCAGCUGGCCGUGCCAGAGGGCGAGGAGAUGCCGGACGCCUGGCACCACCAGCUGGUGUUUGGAGUGGCGCCCGACGCCAUCUACAUGAGUAACCCCCUGGAAGUCGGUGAGAGGAGUGUUCCUUGCUUUCCUAGCCUGUGUUUCUCUCAGUGUUAUUAUUAUUUUUAUUAUCAUCAUCAUCUUCUGUCCCGCUUGUCCUAAAUGGGUCGCGGUGGCAGCAGGGAGAGCAGAGAGGCCCAGCCGCCCUGUCCCCCGCAACUUCCUCCAGCUCAACCUGGGGGAUCCCCAUCUGUUCCCAGGCCAACUGUGAGAUAUAAUCCCUCCAGCGGGUCCUGGGCCGACCUCGGGGCCUCGCCCCAGUUGGCCGUGCCCGAUAUACCUCCAAAGGGAGGCGCCCAGGGGGCAUCCUUAUCAGAUGCCUGACUCCUCUCAAUCUGGAGAAGUAGCAGCUCUACUCUGAGCUCCUCCCGGAUGUCCGAACUCCUCACCCUGUCACGGAGAGUGAGUCCCAGCACCCUGCGGAGAAAACUCAUUUCGGCCACUUGUAUCUGGGAUCUUAUUCUUUCGGUCAUUACCCAAAGUUCAUGGCCAUAGGUGAGGGUAGGGACGUAGAUCGACCGGUAAAUGGAGAGCUCCCCCUUCACCACUACAGUCCGCUACAGCGACCGCAUUACUGCUGCCGCUGCUCCCAGUCUGCGGCCAAUCUCACGCUCCCUUCUCCCCUCACUCGUGAACAAGACCCCAAGAUACUUAAACUCCUCCACCUGGGGCAAUUUCUCUCCCCUUACCUAGAGGGAGCAUGCCAUCCUUUUCCAUGAGAGAACCAUGGACUCAGACUUUGAGGUGCUGAUCCUCAUCCCAGCCGCUUCACACUCGGCUGCAAACCGUUCCAGUGCGUGCUGGAGACAACCCUCUGACGGUGCCAAAAGGACAACUUCAUCUGCAAAAAGCAGAGAUAUCACCUUUCAACUCCCACACAGAAUGCUCUCCUGACCCCGACUGCACCUUGAUAUCCUGUCCAUGAAAACCACAAACAGGAGUGGAGACAAGGCACAACCUUGGCGGAGUCCAACACCCACACUGAACAGGCCUGAUUUAAUGCGGAGUAUGCGGACACAGCUUUCGCUCCGCAUGUACAAGGACCAAAUGGCCCGCAGUAGUGGCCCUGGUACCCCAUACUCCCGAAGCACCUCCAACAGAA